AAAAAAGGACCUUUAAAAUUAUGAACUUCGCACACUCUUAUUCUGUUAGAAGAGCCGAAACAAUUUUUACCAGUCAGGAGGACACAUCUUUGUGCUUGGGCUGUGCUUUGGAUCUUCCACAAGAAACUCACCCUAGCAGAUCUUACCAAUGCUUUAAACUCUAAAGCAUCAGGGCAGGGAAUGAAUUAAACAAUUAAAAUUCAAGCCAUCAAAAAAAAAUUAAGUCAUUGUCUGCUGAUCUCUAAGAUAAAUGCGUGCCACACGUUUGGAACUAUUUUCUUUGCGAAGGAAUACGUCAAAUGGAAUUCCAUAUGUUCAAUCUGUGUUCAUACCCUGACCAUGAGUCUGUAAAUCUAGGGAUGUUACAAUAUGUUAAAAAUGCAAUUCCCAGAGGCUACCCUGAA
This 404-nucleotide long non-coding RNA is filed under the name Rattus norvegicus (Norway rat). Its description in RNAcentral is "long non-coding RNA NONRATT032449". The record is from RNAcentral. Lineage: Eukaryota; Metazoa; Chordata; Mammalia; Rodentia; Muridae.